UACACGACCGUACCGCAAACCGACACUGGUGCGCGAGAUGAGUAUUCUAAGGCGCUUGAGAGAACUCGGGAGAAGGAACUCGGCAAAUUGACACCGUAACUUCGGAAGAAGGUGUGCCUUUAGUAGGUGAAGGGAUUUACUCCUGGAGCCCAAUGAGGUUGCAAAAAAUCGGUGGCUGCGACUGUUUAUUAAAAACACAGCACUCUGCAAACACGAAAGUGGACGUAUAGGGUGUGACGCCUGCCCGGUGCUGGAAGAUUAAAUGAUGGGGUGCAAGCUCUUGAUUGAAGUCCCAGUAAACGGCGGCCGUAACAAUAACGGUCCUAAGGUAGCGAAAUUCCUUGUCGGGUAAGUUCCGACCUGCACGAAUGGCGUAACGAUGGCCACACUGUCUCCUCCCGAGACUCAGCGAAGUUGAAAUGUUUGUGAUGAUGCAAUCUCCCCGCGGAAAGACGGAAAGACCCCAUGAACCUUUACUGUAGCUUUGUAUUGGACUUUGAACAGAUCUGUGUAGGAUAGGUGGGAGGCUUUGAAGCAGGGUCGCUAGAUCUUGUGGAGCCAACGUUGAAAUACCACCCUGGUGUGUUUGAGGUUCUAACCUAGGUCCAUUAUCUGGAUCGGGGACAGUGCAUGGUAGGCAGUUUGACUGGGGCGGUCUCCUCCCAAAGCGUAACGGAGGAGUUCGAAGGUACGCUAGGUACGGUCGGACAUCGUGCUAAUAGUGCAAUGGCAUAAGCGUGCUUAACUGCGAGACUGACAAGUCGAGCAGAUGCGAAAGCAGGACAUAGUGAUCCGGUGGUUCUGUAUGGAAGGGCCAUCGCUCAACGGAUAAAAGGUACUCUGGGGAUAACAGGCUGAUACCGCCCAAGAGUUCAUAUCGACGGCGGUGUUUGGCACCUCGAUGUCGGCUCAUCUCAUCCUGGGGCUGUAGCCGGUCCCAAGGGUAUGGCUGUUCGCCAUUUAAAGAGGUACGUGAGCUGGGUUUAAAACGUCGUGAGACAGUUUGGUCCCUAUCUUCCGUGGGCGCUGCAGAUUUGAGGAAGCCUGCUCCUAGUACGAGAGGACCGGAGUGGACGCACCUCUGGUGUAUCGGUUGUCACGCCAGUGGCAUUGCCGAGUAGCUAUGUGCGGAAGAGAUAACCGCUGAAAGCAUCUAAGCGGGAAACUCGUUUCAAGAUGAGAUCUGCCGGGGCCUUGAGCCCCCUAAAGAGUCGUUCAAGACCAGGACGUUGAUAGGUCAGGUGUGGAAGCGCAGUAAUGCGUUAAGCUAACUGAUACUAAUUGCUCGUGCGGCUUGACCCU
This 1302-nucleotide ribosomal RNA is filed under the name metagenome. RNAcentral's name for it is "bacterial LSU rRNA". It matches the Rfam family "Bacterial large subunit ribosomal RNA", at positions 1635 to 2925 of the family's 2925-position model. The record is from RNAcentral.